RNAcentral lists this long non-coding RNA (2146 nucleotides) under Homo sapiens (human). RNAcentral's name for it is "HSALNT0400565". The stretch from base 955 to 1044 matches the Rfam family "mir-663 microRNA precursor family". The record is from RNAcentral. Lineage: Eukaryota; Metazoa; Chordata; Mammalia; Primates; Hominidae.
GGCUUGGGCUGGUGACGCGUGCGCCGGCCGGCCGCCGAGGGGCUACCGUUCUGCCUCCGACCGGUCGUGUGUGGGUUUACUCGGAGGUGCUUUGCCUCUGAAGAAAAGAGGCGGGUGGACGGGGUGGGGGGGGGGGUGGGAGGCGGGGGCUUGUGGAGUUGCGCUCACGCUCGCACCUGCCGGUCCCCGCCCUGACCGCGAACGCUCAAGGUUGCCGCACGCAGGUUUUUCCUGGUACCACAGGCCCCCUCCCUUCCCCAGGCCUCCCUGAGCGCCUCUGCGGGCCCCUCGGGCCCCACGAGGGGCGGCUGGCGGGUGGGGAGUGUGACCCAUCCUCGGUGAGAAAGCCUUCUCUAGCGAUCCAAGAGGUGUGCCUUGGGGUACGGGAUCCCCCGGCCUGCCGCCUCUGUCUCUCUCUCCGUUAUGGUAGCGCUGCAGUAGCGACUCGCUUGCAGAGGAACCCUCCUCAGCUUCCCCCUCGACGGGGUGACGGGGGGAGAGCGAGGGUUCCGCCGGCCACCGCGGUGGUGGCCGAGCGCGGCUCGUCGCCUACUGUGGCCGGCGCCUCCCCUUUCCGAGUAAGGGGAGGAUCCCGCCGGCAGGGCCCAGCGUCCUAGCGGGUUGGGACGCGGCUGACAGCGAGCGAUGGCUGCGCGCAGCGUUCCGUCCGGCGAGUGACCCCCCUCCGCCGCGAGUCAGCUCUCCGCCCGCUCCCUUGCCGAGUCGCGACCGGUGCGGACGACGGCGUUUGCGUGGCACGUGGUCGGGCCGCCUGGCCCUGGGAAAGCGUCCCACGGUGGGGGCGCGCCGGUCUCCCGGAGCGGGACCGGGUCGGAGGAUGGACGAGAAUCACGAGCGAUGUGGCCCUGGCGUUGAGUUUGUGGCUGUGGUCGCUUCGGGGCCCCGGUGGCGGGACCAGGGGCUCGUGAGGCAGGUCUUGGUGGGUGCCGAGGGCCUUCCGGCGUCCCAGGCGGGGCGCCGCGGGACCGCCCUCGUGUCUGUGGCGGUGGGAUCCCGCGGCCGUGUUUUCCUGGUGGCCCGGCCAUGCCUGAGGUUUCUCCCUCAGCCGCCCCUCUGCGGGCUCCCAGAAAUACUAGGCUUUAGAAUUUCACCAUAUGAAUUUUGGGAGAGAGGAGCACAGUUCAGCCCAUAACUAACACACGACGGAAUGAAGUUGAUAAUAGUGAGACCUUGUUGGUACAAGACUAUGUAACAUAACCUGCGCUUCUCAACAAAGAAUUGCUUUUCUGACUUCUGCACUCAAUAGCAAGACAAAUCUCUCCUCUGCCUUCUCCUUAUCAGACUACUCAACAUGAAGGCAAUAAGAAUGAAGACCUCUAUGUAUAAUAAUUGACUUCCACUUAAUAAAUAAGGUUACUUGGUACACUGGUCGACAAAACCUUGAAAUGUUGAUGUUUAAGGGCUGUUGAUUGCUGGCAGCAAAGAAGUCCAACUGUGCUGGUACCCGAGAUAGCGUCUCCACAUUUUCUUCCAGGAUCAUCACCUUUGUUCUAAAUAGCUCCCACAUAGUGUGAACAGAAGUCAUAUGUUUUAGAUUUUCUGCCUUGGCACCCAGGAAACCAGUAUGAUUGAGUAAACAUAUUAAACUUCCUCUGCAUUUCCAGCCUGAACAGAUGUUGAGUACAAGCUGAUCCACCUACGUUCAACCUGAGAGAGUCCACAUCCACAGACUGUUUCAUUUCCCUUUUUCAAUUUACAUAGAAGCAUAGAUUCUUGCUGGCAUAUACAAAUGCGCCAUUUAAGGCAAUCAAAAAUGGUUCCACAUCUCAUCUGAUUUCCACAAUUGUUGCUGUAACGAUGGACUACUGAGGAGAGAGACAAUUUCUCUGGCACAUCUUCCCACAUUUUAGCAACAUGUUCAUGGAGAGCCAAUAUUCAGUAAUUACAGCCCAAUUCCUCACAAUUUCACAAUUCGCUAACAAUAUGCAUUUUCACAAUGUAAAGCUGAUUUUCCUUUAACCAAAUCAAACAUGAAAAGAUAGCUGCAUGCAAUGGGCAAUCUAGAUCAUUAGAAGAUUGAUGUAAAAUUAGAGGACACUGAGACUGGAAUAGAUUGCAAACUUCAGGGAGCUCAGAAAACUUGUAAACUCUACAUUUUGAGGAAAUAUGUUGUCGAUGCUUUUGC